This 599-nucleotide ribosomal RNA is filed under the name Sporosarcina pasteurii. RNAcentral's name for it is "bacterial SSU rRNA". It matches the Rfam family "Bacterial small subunit ribosomal RNA", at positions 45 to 626 of the family's 1533-position model. Lineage: Bacteria; Bacillati; Bacillota; Bacilli; Caryophanales; Caryophanaceae. The record is from RNAcentral.
AGCUAAUACAUGCAGUCGAGCGAAACAGAAGAGGAGCUUGCUCCUCUGACGUUAGCGGCGGAUGGGUGAGUAACACGUGGGCAACCUGCCCUGCAGUUGGGGAUAACUCCGGGAAACCGGGGCUAAUACCGAAUAAUCAGUUCCUUCGCAUGAAGGAACUCUGAAAGACGGUUUCGGCUGUCUCUGCAGGAUGGGCCCGCGGCGCAUUAGCUAGUUGGUGAGGUAACGGCUUACCAAGGCGACGAUGCGUAGCCGACCUGAGAGGGUGAUCGGCCACACUGGGACUGAGACACGGCCCAGACUCCUACGGGAGGCAGCAGUAGGGAAUCUUCCACAAUGGACGGAAGUCUGAUGGAGCAACGCCGCGUGAGCGAAGAAGGUUUUCGGAUCGUAAAGCUCUGUUGUGAGGGAAGAACAAGUAUAGGAGUAACUGCCUGUACCUUGACGGUACCUCAUUAGAAAGCCACGGCUAACUACGUGCCAGCAGCCGCGGUAAUACGUAGGUGGCAAGCGUUGUCCGGAAUUAUUGGGCGUAAAGCGCGCGCAGGCGGCCUUUUAAGUCUGAUGUGAAAGCCCACGGCUUAACCGUGUAAGGUCAU